CUACGGGUCGCUCCAGUGAGGAAUAUUGCACAAUGGGGGAAACCCUGAUGCAGCAACGCCGCGUGGAGGAUGACGCAUUUCGGUGUGUAAACUCCUUUUAUAUGUCAAGAAAAUGACGGUAGCUUAUGAAUAAGCACCGGCUAACUCCGUGCCAGCAGCCGCGGUAAUACGGAGGGUGCAAGCGUUAUUCGGAAUCACUGGGCGUAAAGGACGCGUAGGCGGGAUAUCAAGUCAGGUGUGAAAUCCUAUGGCUCAACCAUAGAACUGCACUUGAAACUGGUAACCUAGAGUAUGGGAGGGGGAGAUGGAAUUAGUGGUGUAGGGGUAAAAUCCGUAGAUAUCACUAGGAAUACCGAAAGCGAAGGCGAUCUCCUGGAACAAUACUGACGCUAAGGCGUGAAAGCGUGGGGAGCAAACGGGAUUAGAUACCCUUGUAGUC
Molecule: ribosomal RNA, 439 nt
Filed under: uncultured bacterium
Lineage: Bacteria
Description: partial 16S ribosomal RNA
Rfam family: Bacterial small subunit ribosomal RNA
Source: RNAcentral